UACAGAGGCCCCAAGCGUUACUGAGAAUCACUGGGUUUAAAGGGUUCGUAGGUGGUCCGUUAAGUCCGUUGUGAAAUCCCUGGGCUCAACCCAGGAAAUGCUUCGGAUACUGGCGGACUUGAGGCUAGUAGGGGUCACUGGAACUGACGGUGGAGCGGUGAAAUGCGUAGAUAUCGUCAGGAACGCCAAUGGUGAAGACAGGUGACUGGGCUAGUCCUGACACUGAGGCACGAAAGCGUGGGGAUCAAACGGG
This 253-nucleotide ribosomal RNA is filed under the name uncultured bacterium. RNAcentral's name for it is "partial 16S ribosomal RNA". It matches the Rfam family "Bacterial small subunit ribosomal RNA", at positions 524 to 776 of the family's 1533-position model. The record is from RNAcentral.